GUAGUGGUGGUUCAGUGGUAGAAUUCUUGCCUUCCAUGCAUGAGACCUGGGUUUGAUUCCUGGCCAAUGCA
This 71-nucleotide transfer RNA is filed under the name Loxodonta africana (African savanna elephant). It matches the Rfam family "tRNA". From Rfam's summary of the family: Transfer RNA (tRNA) molecules are approximately 80 nucleotides in length. Their secondary structure includes four short double-helical elements and three loops (D, anti-codon, and T loops). Lineage: Eukaryota; Metazoa; Chordata; Mammalia; Proboscidea; Elephantidae. The record is from Rfam by way of RNAcentral.